AAGGGAAAGGUUCGAGCCUGCCGAAAACGGUUCCGCCCAAAAGACGUUCGCUCGAAAGCUCAACCCCGUAGAAUAAAAAAGUUAUUAUUAUCGCGAAAACCCCGGACAGCUGUUUUUUGUUUUUUUCCGUUUAUCGGGAGCUCGCGACGUACUACCUAUCUACCUGUACUUACUUACACUAUUACGUACUCGGUCACGAGCAGGGCUCGGGACUUUUUCCACUGAAAAUCCACAAAAAAAGCGUUCAAAAAUGUCAAAUAAAUUUCGAAAAUGGACUUCAAAAAACAAAAAAAUAAAUAAAUAUGGUAGCGUGUUUUUAAAAGUCUCCACCUCUAACGGCUCUAAAUUAUAAUAUACAAUUUUCGAGCAGUACAAAAACUAUCAACACAAGUUUUUAAAUAAAAUUGUAUGUACCCGUUAAAAAAAAAAAAAAAAUUAUUUUGCGACCCUUUUUUUUUUUAGCGUUACACAAUUACGUUUUAAUUUCAAACCCCCUCUGAGCUCCCUGUCGUUUUUGCUUUUCACAUAAUAUUUUUUUUCGGGGCUCUUUUAACGUUUUCAAACUCUUUUCUGUGUACUCUAAACGCAUCCGGUCCCGAGCGCUCAUAACUUACGCGUACUUUCGUAAUUCUACGUUAAACCGUUUUCUACAUUCUCACAUUUUAAUACCCUGUGUCGGAAAUGUGAC
This is a non-coding RNA of Cinara cedri, 688 nucleotides long. Lineage: Eukaryota; Metazoa; Arthropoda; Insecta; Hemiptera; Aphididae. The record is from the annotation of a GenBank genome assembly.